Molecule: non-coding RNA, 21 nt
Filed under: Gorilla gorilla (western gorilla)
Lineage: Eukaryota; Metazoa; Chordata; Mammalia; Primates; Hominidae
Also listed under: 2 other names
Gene: ggo-miR-433
Source: miRBase by way of RNAcentral
AUCAUGAUGGGCUCCUCGGUG